Molecule: long non-coding RNA, 2742 nt
Filed under: Gossypium barbadense (sea-island cotton)
Lineage: Eukaryota; Viridiplantae; Streptophyta; Magnoliopsida; Malvales; Malvaceae
Description: long non-coding RNA (GBAR_LNC005552)
Source: RNAcentral
AUGGGGAUCAUUUGGCCUACGAGAACUGGCCCGAUUCAAAGAGCUGUUGGACAGGCCUGUCACAUUGAAGCCUGAUGGGCCCGAUAAUGAAGAUAGGACUAAGUAGUCUUAGAAGUUCUAAUUGUACACAGCUUCUAAUUCUGUAAAGUUAGAGUCCUAAUUGAAUACAGCUUUUAAUUGUAGCCAUCGGUUUUGGGGGAGCUCAACUAUAAAUAGAGAGCCUCCCCCUCGUUUGUACUCACUCCUGAAUUGUUUCAUUAUUCUUUGUGAAUAAGAAUUGAGAGCAUUUACUCAAACUUUUCUCUCAAGCGUUCUUGCUUUUGUUCAUCUUUCAAAGAUCGUUCUUAAUUCGUUCUUCCGCUGUUCUUCAUGGAAACUUUAAGGGAAUUCUGUUGAAUCCUUUAUUGUUGCGAGUUGAGCUGACUUAGGCGUUUUUACGGUUGAAUCCAUUAUUGGUGGAAGUUAGGCUGACUUAGGCGUUUUUAAGCCAAGAAACUGCCUAAGGCCGCACGGAUGUGUGGGAAAACUCCAAGUCCGUGACAAGUGGUAUCCGAGCCAAGGUUUGAACCAAGUAAUAUUCGAGUUGUUGGUUCAAAGGCACCGUUGGGAUGUCAAAAGAAGAGUUUGAACAAAGGUGGGCGAGGAAGUCUUUGAGGGAGACAAUAUCGGCAGUAGAACGUGUGGGUAAACUCGAGGGAUCCAUGGAGGAUGUAAAGGAGGCACUUGAUGGGGUCGAGGAUCGCAUAACAAACUGGGAGGAGCAGUCCAGAGACUAUGUAAAGAUGUCUCUUGAUUCCACCAUGGACAAGGUAAACGAGUUGUUUAAUUCACACAGGGAUUAGCUGUCGGAAAGGAAUGAUGCUCUCGAGGCCAUGAUGAUGGCUUUGAAGGAGGAAACAAUGGCCACGACGAAGGCUUUGAGCACAAGAAUAGAGGAGCUCGAGGGAGAGCUGUCCUUGUGUCAAGCAGCCGUGGGGAAAGGAGUGGCAAAUGCAGCACUCAGUAAUGAGGAUGUCCCAAAGCCGAAAGAGUUUGUGGGGACAAGGUCUGCAUGUGAUGUGGACAAUUUCUUGUGGAGGAUGGAAAACUACUUCCGUGCCAAAGGCAUCAUGGAAGAUGCGGUUAAGGUAAACACUGCUUCAAUGUUUCUUUCUGACAUUGCGCUUUUAUGGUGGCGAGGUAGGACCACAGAUAAAAGGCAAGGUGAGAUUGGGACAUGGCAAGAGUUCCAAUGCGAGUUGAAGGGACAGUUUUACCCAGAAUUUGCCGAGGAAGAAGCUCAGGCAAAGUUGCAAGAGAUAAUGCAACGGGGCACAGUGAGGGAGUAUGUUCAAGAGUUCAAGGAACUCAUGCUCCAAAUUUCAGAUGUGACUGAUGAAGAAGCAUUGCUUGCUUUUCAAAAGGGAUUGAAGCCGUGGGUCAGACAGGAGGUGGAACAAAGAGGUGUCCAAAAAUUGUCGGAAGCCAUGACGGUAGUUGAGUCCGUGGUGAAGCUUGGUCUAGGGAAAGACAAGCUUGGGUCUUCCAAGUCCGAUGGAAGGGGCGUAUGUGAAAUGGAUCACAAGGAAGAUAGAGUUAAUGGCAAUGACAACGGCGACAAUGGUGGUAAUGGGAAACCACGAGUUGGGAAGAAGAAACCCAAGAGGAAAAGGGACAAGCUAAAAUGCUUUCUCUGCGACGGUCCACACAUGUUGAAGAAAUGUUUGAAGAAAUCCACGCUUAAGGAGAAGCCGGUGGGUAAGGCCUUGGUACUUGGUUCGAGCGCAAGGGGUGUCAAAGCCAAGGAGGCCGAAAGCGAGAAGAAGCCAGUGGAGUGCUUCUUGUGUCAUGGUCCGCAUAGGUUGCGGAAGAGUCUGAAGAAGUCUGUCAUCGAGGGGAACGAUGGAGCAGACAAUGAGCCCAAGAAGCUUGGUUCGAGCAAGGGAAAAGCCGAAGCCAAGAGGGCAAAGAGGAGCAAAAAGAAGCAAGUUAAGUGCUUCUUGUGCCGUGGUCCGCAUGAGUUGCGGAACUGUCCAAAGCAAGCCGGAGUCGAAAGAAACGCAACGUCUGAGCUUGGUGAGUCGUCGAAGGGGCUUCCACCCAAGGAAGAGGUGAGUUUGUCAUCUAACUUAGCGGAUAAAGUUGCGAUGAAAACAGUGAAGCUGGGACCAAUGAGGCUCAAGUUGAGUGAAGUAUCAGAGUUAGCCGAGUCAUCGACAAGGCUUCCACCUAUGGGAAAGGUAGGUGGUGCAUCAGACUUUAAAGGAAAAGAAGCGAUGCAUGUGGGACAGUUGACCAGAGUAAAUGCGACGAGCAGGACGGCUCGAGUUAAGAAGCGACAGAAGCCGAGGCAAGAAUCCCAAAGAAAGGGAAAGGCUAAGGCGACGAGACGAGACCGAGGCGAAUCAAGUCAGUGCCAUUCAGAAGUCGCAACGAGGGCGUUGCGAGAAUGGGUGGGGGAGAAUGUCACGGACCGCAGUUCAAAGCCCGUGACAAGCGCACCAAAUGCAUCCAAUGGAGGUCUGCUGCUCAGAUGGGGAUCAUUUGGCCUACGAGAACUGGCCUGAUUCAAAGAGCUGUUGGACAGGCCUGUCACAUUGAAGCCUGAUGGGCCUGAUAAUGAAGAUAGGACUAAGUAGUCUUAGAAGUUCUAAUUGUACACAGCUUCUAAUUCUAUAAAGUUAGAGUCCUAAUUGAAUACAGCUUUUAAUUGUAGCCAUCGGUUUUGGGGGAGCUCAACUAUAAAUAGAGAGCCUCCCCCUC